Molecule: ribosomal RNA, 2932 nt
Filed under: Escherichia coli
Lineage: Bacteria; Pseudomonadati; Pseudomonadota; Gammaproteobacteria; Enterobacterales; Enterobacteriaceae
Description: 23S ribosomal RNA
Rfam family: Bacterial large subunit ribosomal RNA
Source: RNAcentral
GGGUUGUGAGGUUAAGCGACUAAGCGUACACGGUGGAUGCCCUGGCAGUCAGAGGCGAUGAAGGACGUGCUAAUCUGCGAUAAGCGUCGGUAAGGUGAUAUGAACCGUUAUAACCGGCGAUUUCCGAAUGGGGAAACCCAGUGUGAUUCGUCACACUAUCAUUAACUGAAUCCAUAGGUUAAUGAGGCGAACCGGGGGAACUGAAACAUCUAAGUACCCCGAGGAAAAGAAAUCAACCGAGAUUCCCCCAGUAGCGGCGAGCGAACGGGGAGCAGCCCAGAGCCUGAAUCAGUGUGUGUGUUAGUGGAAGCGUCUGGAAAGGCGUGCGAUACAGGGUGACAGCCCCGUACACAAAAAUGCACAUACUGUGAGCUCGAUGAGUAGGGCGGGACACGUGGUAUCCUGUCUGAAUAUGGGGGGACCAUCCUCCAAGGCUAAAUACUCCUGACUGACCGAUAGUGAACCAGUACCGUGAGGGAAAGGCGAAAAGAACCCCGGCGAGGGGAGUGAAAAAGAACCUGAAACCGUGUACGUACAAGCAGUGGGAGCACAGAGCAAUCUGUGUGACUGCGUACCUUUUGUAUAAUGGGUCAGCGACUUAUAUUCUGUAGCAAGGUUAACCGAAUAGGGGAGCCGAAGGGAAACCGAGUCUUAACUGGGCGUUAAGUUGCAGGGUAUAGACCCGAAACCCGGUGAUCUAGCCAUGGGCAGGUUGAAGGUUGGGUAACACUAACUGGAGGACCGAACCGACUAAUGUUGAAAAAUUAGCGGAUGACUUGUGGCUGGGGGUGAAAGGCCAAUCAAACCGGGAGAUAGCUGGUUCUCCCCGAAAGCUAUUUAGGUAGCGCCUCGUGAAUUCAUCUCCGGGGGUAGAGCACUGUUUCGGCAAGGGGGUCAUCCCGACUUACCAACCCGAUGCAAACUGCGAAUACCGGAGAAUGUUAUCACGGGAGACACACGGCGGGUGCUAACGUCCGUCGUGAAGAGGGAAACAACCCAGACCGCCAGCUAAGGUCCCAAAGUCAUGGUUAAGUGGGAAACGAUGUGGGAAGGCCCAGACAGCCAGGAUGUUGGCUUAGAAGCAGCCAUCAUUUAAAGAAAGCGUAAUAGCUCACUGGUCGAGUCGGCCUGCGCGGAAGAUGUAACGGGGCUAAACCAUGCACCGAAGCUGCGGCAGCGACGCUUAUGCGUUGUUGGGUAGGGGAGCGUUCUGUAAGCCUGCGAAGGUGUGCUGUGAGGCAUGCUGGAGGUAUCAGAAGUGCGAAUGCUGACAUAAGUAACGAUAAAGCGGGUGAAAAGCCCGCUCGCCGGAAGACCAAGGGUUCCUGUCCAACGUUAAUCGGGGCAGGGUGAGUCGACCCCUAAGGCGAGGCCGAAAGGCGUAGUCGAUGGGAAACAGGUUAAUAUUCCUGUACUUGGUGUUACUGCGAAGGGGGGACGGAGAAGGCUAUGUUGGCCGGGCGACGGUUGUCCCGGUUUAAGCGUGUAGGCUGGUUUUCCAGGCAAAUCCGGAAAACUAAGGCUGAGGCGUGAUGACGAGGCACUACGGUGCUGAAGCAACAAAUGCCCUGCUUCCAGGAAAAGCCUCUAAGCAUCAGGUAACAUCAAAUCGUACCCCAAACCGACACAGGUGGUCAGGUAGAGAAUACCAAGGCGCUUGAGAGAACUCGGGUGAAGGAACUAGGCAAAAUGGUGCCGUAACUUCGGGAGAAGGCACGCUGAUAUGUAGGUGAAGCGACUUGCUCGUGGAGCUGAAAUCAGUCGAAGAUACCAGCUGGCUGCAACUGUUUAUUAAAAACACAGCACUGUGCAAACACGAAAGUGGACGUAUACGGUGUGACGCCUGCCCGGUGCCGGAAGGUUAAUUGAUGGGGUUAGCGCAAGCGAAGCUCUUGAUCGAAGCCCCGGUAAACGGCGGCCGUAACUAUAACGGUCCUAAGGUAGCGAAAUUCCUUGUCGGGUAAGUUCCGACCUGCACGAAUGGCGUAAUGAUGGCCAGGCUGUCUCCACCCGAGACUCAGUGAAAUUGAACUCGCUGUGAAGAUGCAGUGUACCCGCGGCAAGACGGAAAGACCCCGUGAACCUUUACUAUAGCUUGACACUGAACAUUGAGCCUUGAUGUGUAGGAUAGGUGGGAGGCUUUGAAGUGUGGACGCCAGUCUGCAUGGAGCCGACCUUGAAAUACCACCCUUUAAUGUUUGAUGUUCUAACGUUGACCCGUGAUCCGGGUUGCGGACAGUGUCUGGUGGGUAGUUUGACUGGGGCGGUCUCCUCCUAAAGAGUAACGGAGGAGCACGAAGGUUGGCUAAUCCUGGUCGGACAUCAGGAGGUUAGUGCAAUGGCAUAAGCCAGCUUGACUGCGAGCGUGACGGCGCGAGCAGGUGCGAAAGCAGGUCAUAGUGAUCCGGUGGUUCUGAAUGGAAGGGCCAUCGCUCAACGGAUAAAAGGUACUCCGGGGAUAACAGGCUGAUACCGCCCAAGAGUUCAUAUCGACGGCGGUGUUUGGCACCUCGAUGUCGGCUCAUCACAUCCUGGGGCUGAAGUAGGUCCCAAGGGUAUGGCUGUUCGCCAUUUAAAGUGGUACGCGAGCUGGGUUUAGAACGUCGUGAGACAGUUCGGUCCCUAUCUGCCGUGGGCGCUGGAGAACUGAGGGGGGCUGCUCCUAGUACGAGAGGACCGGAGUGGACGCAUCACUGGUGUUCGGGUUGUCAUGCCAAUGGCACUGCCCGGUAGCUAAAUGCGGAAGAGAUAAGUGCUGAAAGCAUCUAAGCACGAAACUUGCCCCGAGAUGAGUUCUCCCUGACUCCUUGAGAGUCCUGAAGGAACGUUGAAGACGACGACGUUGAUAGGCCGGGUGUGUAAGCGCAGCGAUGCGUUGAGCUAACCGGUACUAAUGAACCGUGAGGCUUAACCUUACAACGCCGAAGCUGUU